UAACCAGCGGUUGAUACGCUCACACUAAUGAAGCUCACGAGCAAGCUUUUCUUUAAUUGAUUGUCUUGCUUGCUCGUUUGUGAGCUUCAUUUCUUGUGUGAGCUCAUUAUUAACCGCUGGUUCAAUCCAGAGGAACUUUGAUUUCAAUCCCAAGAUUAUCCCCGCAUUCAUUAAAGAAAAAUUAAUAUUG
Molecule: non-coding RNA, 190 nt
Filed under: Prorocentrum minimum
Lineage: Eukaryota; Dinophyceae; Prorocentrales; Prorocentraceae
Source: RNAcentral